UGCCCAGUGGAGAUGGUUAGGAAAAUCUGUUCUGAGUUAAGCUUACUCCCUUUGAUACAUGUUUCCAAUUGCUAACCAAAUGCUGCUUUAAUUUUUGUUUAUAGGAAGCUGAACCAAGUCAAAGAAGACUGUUAUUUGGAGCAUGUGUGAGGCUUGGCUAGCCCAGAGGCUGAUGUCACCAGUAUUCAGAGGUUCAGGAUGAUGCCACCUAUUGGACAUAAGAAACCCAGGAAGAUGAUUUCCAGCUGUGAUUUCCAAAUGUGCAUCUGCUGUGUCAGGUCCACUGUUCCACUGGACAGAAUCCCAGGCCCGAGAGUAUCAUAAGCAUAGAGCUGUGGAGUCAGCUCUAGAACUCCACAUAGCAUCAUCAAAGCAUGGAGCAGACAUGGUUUCCAGGUAACUGUUUAUAGAGGGAAGGACAGAUCAGUAUG
This 431-nucleotide long non-coding RNA is filed under the name Mus spicilegus (steppe mouse). RNAcentral's name for it is "lncRNA (ENSMSIG00000023824.1)". The record is from RNAcentral. Lineage: Eukaryota; Metazoa; Chordata; Mammalia; Rodentia; Muridae.